This 78-nucleotide microRNA precursor is filed under the name Schistosoma mansoni. Its description in RNAcentral is "mir-3492 microRNA precursor family". It matches the Rfam family "mir-3492 microRNA precursor family". The record is from Rfam by way of RNAcentral. Lineage: Eukaryota; Metazoa; Platyhelminthes; Trematoda; Strigeidida; Schistosomatidae.
AGCUUUUUCAAUCCGUGCUGAGAUUUCGUCAGACAUCAACUCAUUAGGGCUGAUCACACUCUCAAGAUGAGUGACGUU